This 78-nucleotide small RNA is filed under the name Flavobacterium swingsii. RNAcentral describes it as "Flavo-1 RNA". It matches the Rfam family "Flavo-1 RNA". The record is from RNAcentral. Lineage: Bacteria; Pseudomonadati; Bacteroidota; Flavobacteriia; Flavobacteriales; Flavobacteriaceae.
CUCUAGCCCAGAUGGGAACGGCAUCCUUUUUCUUGCUCCUUUAGCGAGGAAAAGAUAUAGUGUACAGCUGGAAAUAGC